UACGUAGGGUGCGAGCGUUGUUCGGAAUUACUGGGCGUAAAGAGCUCGUAGGCGGUCUGUCGCGUCGGUCGUGAAAACUUGGGGCUUAACCCUGAGCUUGCGGUCGAUACGGGCAUGACUGGAGUUCGGCAGGGGAGACUGGAAUUCCUGGUGUAGCGGUGAAAUGCGCAGAUAUCAGGAGGAACACCGGUGGCGAAGGCGGGUCUCUGGGCCGAUACUGACGCUGAGGAGCGAAAGCUAGGGUAGCAAACGGG
This 254-nucleotide ribosomal RNA is filed under the name uncultured bacterium. Its description in RNAcentral is "partial 16S ribosomal RNA". It matches the Rfam family "Bacterial small subunit ribosomal RNA", at positions 524 to 776 of the family's 1533-position model. The record is from RNAcentral.